Molecule: transfer RNA, 72 nt
Filed under: Candidatus Daviesbacteria bacterium RIFCSPHIGHO2_12_FULL_38_25
Lineage: Bacteria; Candidatus Daviesiibacteriota
Also listed under: 4 other names
Description: tRNA-Val
Rfam family: tRNA
About the family: Transfer RNA (tRNA) molecules are approximately 80 nucleotides in length.
Source: RNAcentral
GGACGGUUAGCUCAGCGGUAGAGCGCUUCGUUUACAUCGAAGAUGUCGCAGGUUCAAAUCCUGCACCGUCCA